ACAUACAUAUAGUUGAGACCAACGAUGGAUCAACUAGAGGUCGCCCCAUAUGGUGAACAAUUUAUUGGAGAUAGACAUUAACAUAACUUGGCCAUAGCUUGAAGCAUAGCAACAUAUGCCUAUGAAUGGCAUUCAUGCUAUCGUUUUAGGCUUGUCCUUCUUCCAUCUUAGCAAGCACUCCCAUUUCUUCCAUCUUAGCAGCAACUGUCAAAUUGAGAUAUGGAAAUCCCAUUAGCACAUGAGUUAAUUUUGCAGUGGAAAUAGAGUACAAGAUGUCUUCAUGAUAUAAGUAAUAUGCCUGAAGUUGUGAGAUGGGACGUGAAGUCAACAAAUUACAUUAACGGAAAUGCAUGGAAGGCCACACAAACGUAUUAGUCCACGACAUGCUACAAUGCUUGUAUGUACAUAUAACAAAUUAAAUGCAUUGAAUACAGUGAGUUUAGUGAGUUUACCAGAAUCGGUCAGAAUACAUGGGAAACAACAAGUGUUGUUGUUCUUGCAGACUGUGUCGGAGGCACCCACAGCAAUACAAGCAAAACAACAUGCUUUUGCCCGGGCGGAUACGCAGCAGCCGCACUGUGCCGCGGUGGCCGAGUUAACAUUGAGGCUCAAGAUGACCAGGCACAUGAUCACCAUCAAAGCGGUAGUCCUCUUUCCCUCCAUUGCCUCCUCACAAUCUUAAAGCGGCAGUGAGUCACGUUGGUGUAACAAGCAGUACAUCAGCUGGAAGAUUGAUAUGUCUAUAGAUGCUUCUUCUUAUCUUUCCACAUACUGCACAAUGUCAAAGUAAAAUGAGAAAGGAUAACAAGCGGAUACAGAGUGAUUGGAUUUACUUGAGAAGCUUGAAGAAACAUCCAGCAACAACAGAAAAGUCAAAGUAUCAAGCGCAUGGAGCUAUAAAGCAGAUUGUAUCGGCUAGAAGAUUCAGGACGUUGAACUUAAUUAAGUUCGAAGCAUGGCCAUUGCGAUAACUUUGCACGGGCAUCACGGAGAUGCCAACAUACAGGAAAGCAGAACAAUCAACAAGUGCCUCUGCUGAUCGGUCAGGUCUCAGAGUUUGAGAAACUGGAUCUGACGGAUGUGAAAUUAAUCUAUGUGGCUUCAUGCAAAUUUGUUCACAGGUUUGAACAGCAUGUAAUCUUUUUCAGGCAUAUAUAAUGGAGCGUGGGUGUGUUAUGUUAUCUUCUACUACAAAUAUAACAUCAAAUUCAUUCGAUCAGUUUGGCCGAGAGCCCAAAAUACAACGGAUAUGCCAUCCAACGGGGGAGAAAAAAAGAUGAGGAACAGUAUACUCUAUCUUCGAAAUGAGUUAUAAAGAUUCAGCUUAAAAAGAAAUAACGAGGCGUCCAAGACUCGAGGAGCCAGUCAAGAGCAGACAAGAGGCACAUAAGUGAAUGCAUCCACACCUUGGGAUGCUGCAAACUUUUAUGGGGCUAUAUAUAGCCAAGUAAACUAUUUUAUCCUGCUGCAAGCUGCAUACAUAAGUUUAUUUAACCUUUGUUCACAAUACUCUUCAUACACCAUUCACACACGUCUCAGGGAGCUGCAGCAAUGGCGGAGAUCUUAGCUGGAGUGCUCACUUCCGCUGUCGUCGCUAUUGCCAAAGACACAACCUAGCUCACCUCUGCUAUUGCGGAGCAGGCCAAUUUGCUGUGGAACUUCGGCGACGACCUGAAGGACAUGAACUCGGUGCUGGAGUCCAUCUCAGCAGCGCUCCAGGACGCUGACACUGGUAGUCUGCCAAGCUUAAGAAGAAGUGAAAAAGUAAGCAGGCCCGAGAUCGAGCGCCAGGGUCAAAGCCUUGAUGACCGGAGGGGUCGGCCAUGGAAUUCCAACCUCCAUGACUGGCGCAAGGAAAAAAUAACCUUCCAUCCUCAACAAAAAUCCCAUUAGCUUUUUUACCUGGAACUAAAGAGGUUUUAGCCCCGUGCAUAUACCUUUAGUCCGGGUUGCUGUUACCAACCAGGAGUAAAAGGGUCCGACGGCACCAAUCGGGACUAAAGCGUCCCCCACGAGUUACUAUAUAAAAGGAUUGCAUCCUCUACUCAGUCAGAUGUACUGUGUAGGUGAGAUGGUAAGGAAGCUAUGCGUGAGGCUUGAGGUUGUGGGUUCGAAUCCCACGCACCGCGCGCGCACGCACAUAUUUUGCGUGAAAAUCGCGUGACGUGAUCGGCCAAGGAGAAGUGGGUGCUGCUGUGGCUUAAGCGGCUGAGGCACGCCACCAUAGACAUCUCGGAUUUGCUCGAAGACUACCAAGACACUAGCGAACCCUUAACGGCAAAGUUGAGUACUUAUGCAUGUCAGCAUCUAUGUUGUCCAUGCUUCCAAUGCAAUAACAAGAAGGACUACUCUUCCUAGCAGAUUCUUCACAACCACUCGUAAAGCUAUGCGUUUCUCAAUGCAAUUUCGUAGAAGGCAAUCGAUCCAACCAAGCGACUAAAUCAUUCAUCCUUGCUAAUGAUGUGCAUCAGGUUUUCUAUAUGAAGGACAUGUCUAGCAAAUCCAAGAUUUUAGAAGAAAAAGAAAAAUCAUGAGAGUCAAAGCGCCACAUAGUUCUUCCAGGUAAAAAAACAAUCAUCCACUGGGAUAGAUCCAAAACGUCCAUAUUUAGACUUUUUGAUAGCAGAAAAAACAUGAAAUGUCUAAUAUUUGUAGUAUUAAAAGGAAAAAUAAUAUAUUCACUUGACUUUUUUUUUUCCGUAGCAACGCAUAGUCAGACUUAAUGCACGAUGCCUGUGCAUCCACUGGGCCUGCCCUUGUGGAUCACGCGCACCAGGACACAGCUCAUUAGCUAGUCGUGCUAAUCCUUACCACCAAAUAAAAAACUAGCAUGUGUUGUGUGUUUGUGACCCUAAACGAUCACAAAUGAAUAACGUUUGGGCUUUGCUAGCGCCUGGAUGCCGGGUCCGGGAUGCUAGCAUCGGACGCACGAGCAGCCAUCCGAUCGGGUCCGACACCACUUCAGGAUCUGGCUUAAAAGGAAGUCCCACCGAAACAUUGUUCCAUGUUGCAUGAAACAUCCCACUAUCCAUCCCCAGGUCUAGAGCAAGCACCACCUUCAAAUCUGCCGCUCACCCAAGCUAAAUAGGGGCAUUAAAAUUGCAGAAAUAUGUCGCAUACCCUUCUCAAAUUAAACUAAAUGGCAACAUCCAAAAAUUUCUUAUACAAAACCAUGAAACAUAUCGAUUAGAUAGGUGUAACAAGAUGGAAUAUGGUAUGCAACAUAUAGAUUCGGAAAAACAGAUGAAACAUUAUGUAAUGAUUGUUGAAACAGUCGAGAAAAAUUAAGAAAAGAAGCUUUAUGCAAAUUGCAAAAAGCUGAAAUAAGUGGUUGAACACUUCAAAUCACCAAAUGCCACAUUUGAAAUGACUAGAUGAAACAUCACAAAAUUAAUUGUAACAGUUGAAGAUGAAACAUUCAAAUGCCUUACCUUUCUCCAGAUUUGACCCUCCAAGCAUGAGUCCAGCCAUUUGCACAUUAGACCCUUGGGAGGAGCUCACCGGAGAACAACAAGACCGUGUUCUCCAACAAUUUUCCAAUCAAAUUGCAACAUAAAAAACAAAGCAUUGCAACAUCUGGCGAGCUACAACAUCAACCAGUUAGGAUCAGGAGAAUGAGGGCAAACACAAGGCUAAUAAUGAGUUAUAUCCUGUUUAAACGAGGAUAAAAAUGAGUGUAUUUUCCACUCAUCAUGUUGUCUUUUCGCAGCUGUACCGCCUUUAGUGUGUUGUAUUGUUCCCCUAACACCAAGUCUCCAAGGCCCGACAAAAUAAGGAAGGUGAUAGCAUCCCAGAAAUCGACCAAGUUUCUUUCGCCCUUUGGCUUUCCUACUAGGAUUCGGAAUCCUCUUUCGCAUGACAAUUUUAAUUAUCUCCCAUAGUCCAAAACUCACAAAAAUAUCAAAAAUCGGCCGAGAAUAAAUUAAGUAAAAAACAUGCACACACAGAUAAUAAUAAUAAUAAUCAUGUUUCAAUAAAAUUGCUAAGACUAGAGACAAUACAUAAACAUAUUAGACUGUUCAUGACACGUAUCACGGUGGACUGUCUGUGUCCUUAUUACAAGCAGCGAGAGGAAUUAACUAUGCUUGUCACCACACACACGUGUGCACAGAUGCACGACAUACAUAUAGUUGAGACCAACAGAUGGAUCAACUAGAGGUCGCCCCAUAUGGUGAAAAAUUUAUUGGAGAUAAACAUCAAUAUAACUUGGCCAUAGCUUGAAGCAUAGCAACAUAUGCCUAUGAAUGGUAUUCAUGCUAUCGUUUUAGGGUUGUCCUUCUUCCAUCCUAGCAGCAACUGUCAAAUUGAGAUAUGGAAAUCCCAUUAGCGCAUGAGUUAAUUUUGCAAUGGAAAUAGAGUACAAGAUGUCUUCAUGAUGUAAGUAAUAUGCCUGAAGUUGUGAGAUGGGAAGUGAGGUCAACAAAUUACUUUAACGGAAAUGCAUGGAAGGCCACACAUACGUAUUGGUCCACGAUAUGCUACAAAGCUUGUAUGUACAUAUAACAAAUUAAAUGCAUUGAAUAGAGUGAGAUUAGUGAACUUACCAGGAUCGAACGGACCACAACCUCGGCCACAGCAGGUGAUCUCGCAGACUGCGUCGAAGACACCCACAGCAGUACAAGCAGAACAACAUUUUUUUGCCUGUUGGGAUUCGCAGCAGCCGCACUGUGCCGCGGUGGCCGGGUUAACAUUGAGGCUCAAGAUGACCAGGCACAUGAUCACCAUCAAAGCAGUAGUACCCUUUCCCUCCAUUGCCUCCUCUUGCUGCUACCUUCCUUGGUUACCUAGCUAAGUUUAUUGGUUUUGUGUUGAGAGGUGAUUCUUGAAUGGACGUUGCCGGCUGCAAUUUAUAGGCAGCUGCGCUAUGUGAUGAUAUGGACAAGGUGCAAAUGGAUGCUUGACAUUCGCAUCAAACAAAGCCCAAUGGCAACUGCUGACACGCAAUUAAUUUCAGAUCCACAUCCAGCCAUUGACUUGUAAUUAAACUAAGCCCACGCGGUCCGCGAGAUGCAGCGUCCGUAGCACAAUAGGCAAAAUUAGAAUUCAGAGAUAGUAGUGUGGGACAUUUAAUUCCUGCGCAAGCGCAGACGACGGUGCCAGCAGCUGCUACCAUGAAACACGGUUACAUAAUUUGAAAAUAAUACAUAAUUAAAAACUAAUACAUAAUUUGACACGGUGUACCUCGAGAACGUUUUGAAAAUGUACUCUCGUUAGGCGUUCACCUCCUUAACAAUAACUGCGACUGUAAAAUAGGUACAUCGACGCUAGCUAAAUAAACCACUAUAAGAUUUAGCAAGAGAUCAUUUUAUACAAUUCUGUAACGAAAGAAUUUGACAAUUAUAGUGUCCAUAUAUUUUGACAAAAACGUCUAAAUUAUAUAAGGAGGUGGGCCCGAAACAGUUGGAUUAGCAUAUGGUUACCCGUUUGUUGUCUUCCGGCCCUAAAAAAGGGACCAUCUUACUGAAAAAGGUUCUAUUAGGCCAUGCAGCCGCUCUGUGGUACCAAAAAGAAAUUUUUGACACGGUUUUACAUCGAGAACAUUUUGAAACUAGACUUUGGUACGCAGUUCACCUGCUUAACAAUAACGGCGUACAUAGACGCUAUCUAAAUUAACCACUUUAAGAUUUAGCGAGAGAUCUAUUUUUUUAAUCCCGUAUAAUCGCGUAGCGACUGUAAGAAGGACUGAAAAAUAAGUUUGAUUACCAUAACUCGUUAAUGGAAUAAACGAUAGAGAUUUCAGCGAGGCAGACUAGCCUUUCACACAGCAGCUCUGCACGCACCAACUGAGCUAGUUGGCAUGAUGUAUUUGCUCUUACUCCCUUGGUCCCAUGUAAUUAUCAGUUAUACUUAUGGGAUACUUAGAUGACUUGAUGUAUGAAUCAAGAAAAUGCAUCUCAAUAAUUUAGAGACCAUGCGCACAUGCAUGGGACAAUAAUAUAGUGUGGAAGGUGUGCGUGAGGAUCGUUAUCUAUAUCGUGUGUUAGAAAAAGAUUGCAUAUAUAGUGCCAUCAUUCAAUAUAAUUAAUUGCGUGCAUGUCAUCGUUACAAGAUUUCUAACAUUUCCCAACACUUCUCUUACAAAUGCCCAGUGGGUUUUAGCAAAAUUUGGAUAACUAGUAGCUACAUGACUGUGGGAAAUGAUCAUAUUCGGAGUUAUAUUGUUACUGAUUUGAUAAACUGUUAAAAAAAUGCAAAUUGUAUGAGAAAAAUUGUCAGGCAUUAUUUGAGAAGUUAGCUUAUAGCACGUACACUUUGCAAGAUGACAGUAUACUUAGAAGGAUGACGGUAUGGAUCUGUGGCAUGGGGAAGGUAGCUAGGUGGAGAAAUAGAGAUAUCACGAGGCAGCGGUGGUACUACGUGGAGAGUGUAGUUAAUGUUUGUCUUUCUUCGGAUAGCACGUUAGCUGACCAUUGACAACGUGUGAUGAUUUUACUAACAUCAAAAUUAGGCAUGCCCCCUUUUUUUAAUUGGUGCUCAUAGAGGCAUGAGUGGGAGGUUUUGGUGGGUGAGCGUUGGUGUGCAACUCGUGUGCGUGAGCAUGUGUGCAUAAGAUAAUGUGUUUUGUUAGAAAAAGAAGAUAAUGCCUGCAAACAAUCCAGAAUAGAAGGCGGGCCCCGACGACAAGAUAAUGCCUUACGUGGCGAUGUCUCAACUUGUCACCUGGGGCGGCUUUUGCAGUUUCCCCAUACACACACUAAGAGCCUCCGACCCUUUUUCAUCAAACCUUCCCAUGUAGUCAUGCAUAUAUCCAUGAUGAUUUGAGUCUACUGAUUGAUACCUAGAUGUUUUGCUUGUUUGUGAGAAUUUUUAGUUUCUUUCUUUUUAGAGUGUCCACCUAAGAUCCUAGGUGGCUUCACCUGAAAGCUUCGAAAGAAGCGUCCAAAUUUAAUCAUAAGAUUUUCUCAAAAGAGACUUAAUUCUACCACUAUAACUUGAUUGGCUGCCCCAGCCUCACUACCGGAAACAGGAAAUAUGCCGAGUGUUUUUCCUUUGCCGAGUGCAUUCCAUCGGGCACUCGGCAAAGGAGGCAUUUGCCGAGUGUCUCCAUGGAAACACUCAGCAUAUACAUUACACUCGGCAUAAAACCUAGUUGCCGAGUGUCAGAGAUAGAACACUCGGCAACAAUAAACACGACACUUGGCAAAGACCUGACACUCGGCAACUAUCCAACACGUGACUGGCACGUGCGACGUCCGUCAGAUGACGUGCUGGCCAUUAGAACUUUGCCGAGUGUCAUUAACGGACACUCGGCAAAGCUAAGGUUUGCCGAGUGUUUUCGUGAAGCACUCGGCAAAGUUUAGGUUUGCUGAGUGUCGGGGAUACAUCCCCAGUACCCGCAAGGAAGGAAGAAGUCAGACUCCUACUAGGAAUUCCCUGUAAUCCGACUAGGACUAGUCCCGUGUACUCCUACUAGGACUCCUCCUUGUAAUCCGACUAGUACUCUGCCCCCUGGAGUAUAUAAAGGAGGGCAGGGGUACCUAGCUCGGCAGGUCAUACCUCAACACCCAAGCUCAGGACACACGAGAACAACUCCAGUUCAUCAAAUACAAACCAACAUACAGGACGUAGGGUAUUACGCGAUCUAGCGGCCCGAACCUGUCUAAAUCGUGUUCCUUGCGUCACCAUUGAUUCCUUGAUUCUCGACGACCCUUACCGCACAAAAGACCACCUAGGGUACCCCCUAGGCAGGUUGCCGGUCUAAAACACCGACACUGAGUGUUUUUUGGAGGCACUCGGCAAAGUUAAAACUCUUUUUCUCUUUUGCCCUCCAAACUUUUUCUACUCCCCACAUACAACAUGUGGUACUACAUGUUAAAAGUUGGUAUAUUUCCCGGUCCGUUUCCUAUAUUUAAUUAAUUAAUUUCAUUUAGAGGAAUUUUUUUGUUUAAGUCAAAUUUGAACCCCACAUGAUUCAAAUAAUGGAAUAAAAUGAGUGGAAAAAUAAUAUUCAUGUUAUUGAGUCCGGAUUGAAGCCUUAUCCAAGAAAUGAAAAGGAAUUUCGAACAUCUUGUUCAGUAAACAUGACCACGAAUGUGUGGCCGAAUGGUUUUUAAAUUCUAACAAACAAACAAACUCUGAAAAUCACGAGAUUUGCCAAGAUCUCAUGAUAUCAUAUGUGGAGGCUGUGGUAAAAAGUUGAGAAGGUUGUGCACAAUUUAUCACGUACGAUGCUUACAAACCGAAGCAUCUCCGAAGAAGAAUCAACGAGUUGAGAAGGAUCUUUUAAGAUUUGGAGUCAAAGUGAUGGUCGAAUUAGGGUUUGACUUCAAACCUUUUUGUAUAGGCAAUAGACAACAUAGAUUGGUUCAUGUCAAAUUUUGGGAAUUUUUCGGAUUCGUUUGAUAAUUUUUAUUUAUUAACUGCAAUUAUAGAAUUUUAAUUGAUAUAAGUUCAAUUUGAGCUAUAACUCCAUGAAAUAAUGGAAUAAUAUUUGUAGAAAAAUCAAAUAUGUAUUGUUGAGUGAAUUUGACAAGAUUUUUGCAAAGUACAUCGGAAAAAAUUUGGUAAAGCACGUUAUGGAAGUUAUACAUACAUGAAAUAUGAAUCCACUUUGCCGAGUGUUUUCGUGAAGCACUCGGCAAAGUUUAGGUUUGCCGAGUGUUUACUAAGCAACACUCGGCAAACUACGUCUAGAGGCCCACUGUUAGACGAGUGUACCAUUUCAAAAUUGUAAAAAUAAAAAUAAAAAAAGAGAGUUUGCCGAGUGCCCGCGAUCUGGCACUCGGCAUACCUUUACUUUGCCGAGUGCCAGAUCGCGGGUACUCGGAAAACCUCCUGACUUAACCACCCGGUCUGCCGCACUCGAACCUCACGCGCACACACCGAAACACUUACCGCUGCACCCCUGUGCACCCGCCGCCGCCACCGUCGGACACCCCCGUCGCCCUAGCGCCCCGCCCCUAGCGCAGCCGCCGCCCCCGGCACCCCACCUGCCGCCCCCGAUGCCCCACGGCCGGUGCCUCGCCCGACAGCCCGCCCCCGGCGUGGCCGUCGCCGCCGGACGCCCCCUCGCCCCUCCCGGUAAUCCUCCAAUCUAUGUUGUUCAAGUUAGAAAAUAGAAAUUAGAAAUUAGACAAGAAAUUAGAAAUUAGAAAAGGAGAAAAAUUAGAAGUGGUAGGAUAGAGAGGUGGUAGGGCUUUUUUUUAGAAAUUAGAAAAUGAUGAAUGAUUUAUGGUGAUAUCAAAUUUCACUAAUUUGAAUGUUGUUGAAGUUUAACCAUGAACUAUUUGCUUUCUUGUCAAAUUUUUGAAUCCAUGUCAAUAUCCAUAUUUCACUACUUGGAAUCAACAAGUUUAAAUCCAUAACCUAUCAUUCUUCUGAAGAAAAUAUGGUUGUUUUGCAAGGUCCUCCCUACCCCAUCUUGCCGCCAUCAUCCGCCAUCCCCUCCCGCCGUCCCACACCUUCGAGUUGCCGGCCGUCGUUUUGCAAGGUAUAAGAGCUAUAUGUGGUUGUCGGCCAUCGUGCCAUUCCGUUGGUGUGGAUGUGGUUAUCGACCAUCGUGCCAUUUUAUUUGAUGCAGGUUUUGGAAACCUCCCCGUGCAGGGGAGGUGCUGCCAAAAUUUCGACUUGACACUACAAUGUUCCUUUUCUUGCAGGAGAGGCUACGUUACCGUCCUCGACUCGUCACUUUGCAGGAUAGCAAGGUGAGGCAUCCUACACCUCUCUUUCCGUAUGAUGUUUGUAUAUCACAUAACCUAUCUAGGGGUCUCCCAUUCGAAAGAGAUACGGUUGGAAAUAUGCAGAUCUUUGCAUAUCUAUAAUCGUAUCUGUUUUGAAUUGUCCACAUUUUUUGGACAGCCCAAGGAUGUGUAGGUGCGGUUAGUUUCCAUGCUCUACUCCGAUCCGUGAUAGAAUUUCUACAGCACCUCCCUGUUGUUCUCCGGAUACACAAUCUCCAAGCCUGGACGUGUAUUUAGAGAACAGUGGGGAGGUGCUGCCGAAAUUCUAUCUCGGAUCGGAGUAGAGCAUGGAAACUAACUGCACGUACACAUCCUCAGGUGGGAUUAGGACCUAUCUUCACCUAUUAGAUAGUAUAGGAACAUGUAGAUGCAAUGUGAUUUUUUAUAUUACUCGCUGAUAUGCUAGAGGAUGGAUGACCGUGAGUGGAUGCACACGGGCCACUCUAGUCAGGCUUCAUUGACCGAUGAAUGGAUUGACAACACCGAUGCAUUCUUGGAAUGGGCGUUUGCUAGGGUCAAAGGAGCUAGUGUCACUUGGUGUCCGUGCAGCAGAUGUGGAAACAUGCAUCAGCAAACCAAGUUGGUCAUGGGUAAACAUCUUGUUAAGAAUAGAUUUAUGGCAGACUAUACCAGGUGGAUCUACCAUGGUGAAACCGAUCGUGGGAGAGAAGAGGUCUUGAGACAAUGCAUCAAGGAAUAUGAUGAUGAUGCCGGGGUGGGAGACAUGUUAAAUGACUAUCAUGAAACACGUAGGGAGGAGGAGCCAGAGACUACCGCAAAGGCGUAUUACGACAUGUUGUUUGCGGCACAACAACUCCUUCACGGGCAUACCAAGGUUUCUCAAUUGGAUGCCAUUGCAUGCCUAAUGGCUGUGAAGUCCCAGUUUAGCUUGAGUCGAGACGCCUUCGAUGUUAUGCUGACAGUUUUUGGCAGCCUGCUCCCGGAGGGUCACAUCUUGUCAAAGAGCAUGUAUGAGACACAGAAACUCCUUCGUGCACUUAAGAUGCCAUACAAGCAGAUACAUGCUUGCCCGAAGGGAUGCAUCUUAUUUAGGAAAGAGUAUGUGGAAGCAAAGUACUGUGUGAAGUGCAAAUCAUCUAGGUUCCUGAAGGUAGACUCUGGUGAUGGUCAGAAGAAGCAGCUCGCAAUCCCUGUGAAGAAUCCGCGAAACAGAUGACCUGGCACAAAAACGGACGUCGAUACAAUCCUGAGAAGCUGGUACACCCAUCCAAUGGUGAAGCCUGGAUAAGGUUUGAUGCGAUUUAUCGUGAGAAAGCUCUAGAGGCCUGUAAUGUACGUGUUGCGCUAGCAACAGAUGGGUUCAAUCCUUAUGGAAUGGCGGCUGCCUCGUACACCUGUUGGCCCAUGUUCAUUAUCCCCCUCAAUCUCCCCCCUGGCAUCCUCUUUCAAUGACAGAACAUAUUUUUGUCGUUUAUAAUUCCAGAACACCCAUGGAAUAAUAUGAGUGUGUACAUGGAGCCUCUGAUUGAUGAUUUGGUCCGUGCUUGGGAGGAAGGGGUAUGGACAUACGACCGAGCUACAAAGACAAACUUCAAGAUGCAUGUUUGGUACCAGUACUCCCUGCAUGACUUGCCGGCAUAUGGGAUUUUCUGCGGCUGGUGUGUGCACGGGUAGUUCCCAUGCCCAGUAUGCAAGGCUUCUUUGAAGUUCAUUUGGUUGACGAAGGGUGGAAAGUAUUCUUCAUUCGACAAACAUCGAAAACUCCUCCCUCCUAACCAUCCAUUCAGACGAGACAUCAAGAACUUUACGAAAGAUGUUGUAGUUAAAGACCCCGCACCGUAGAUGAUGACAGGGGCCGCAGUUCAUGCUCAAUUAGAUGCUCUCGAGGUCAAUAAUGAAGAAGGUGGUUUUGUGGAAUAAUGCGAGCAACAUGCCUGGACUCAGAAGUCGUGCUUGUGAAUCCUCCCCUAUUUUGAUAACCUUCUUCUUCCACAUAAUAUUGAUGUAAUGUACACCGAAAAGAAUAUCGCCGAGGCAAUUUUUGGUACAAUCAUGGACAUUCCUGAUAAGACAAAGCAUAACGUUAAGGCUAGAGUGGAUCAAGCGAGGUUAUGCAACAGGCCAAAGCUAGACAUGGCGCCUCCAAGAGCUGGCAAGUCGUGGAGAAAGCCUAUAGCCGAUUUUGUUCUGACGAGGGCCCAAAGGAGGGAGGUACUAGAAUGGUUCCAAACGUUAAUGUUCCCUGGUGGGCAUGCAGCGAAUCUGAAGAGGGGAGUGAAUUUAGCUACUAGGCAGAUCAACAGGCUCAAGAGUCAUCAUUACCAUAUAUGGCUUGAGCGCCUACUUCCAGUGAUGGUUCGAGGCUAUGUCCCUGAGCAUGUCUGGCAGGUGUUAGCGGAGUUGAGCAAUUUCUUCUGCCAGUUUUGUGCCAAGGAGUUAUCUCGUACCAUGGUUGCAGAAAUGGAAAGAAUGGCGUCUGUGUUGCUCUGUAAGUUGGAGAAAAUCUUUCCACCCGGCUUCUUCAAUCUGAUGCAGCAUAUGAUUCUGCACCUCCCAUAUGAAGCACAAAUGGGGGGGCCUAUGCAGGGUUGUUGGUGGUAUUCAAUUGAGAGAUGUCAAAAGGUUCUUCGAACUAAAUGUAAAAAUAAAUGCAAAAUUGAAGCAUCCAUUGCAGAGGCAUACAUUCCGGAGGAGGUGUUAAACUUCACAAUAAAAUACUAUGCUGACAACCUUCCUAGUGUGCAUAAUCCACCCUCUUGUUACAAUGCCGGCGAAGAUGAAUCAAGCCUUAGCAUUUUCUAAGGGCAACUCAGAAGUGCAAGUGGUGCGACCCACAAGACCUUGAAACAUGAAGAGUGGCGCAUUAUCAUGCUGUAUGUAUUGACCAACCUAUCCAAAGUGGAGCAUUACAUGUUGUAAGUUCUGAACAAUCUUUUUCUUAAGUAGUCGCUAUUCUGUGUCCAACUCCCAUGUUUCUCGUUGGUACAGGAAAUUUCAUCGUCAAUUCUGGCGUAAAUCAAGGGAACCUACCCCGUAUGAAGCUGAGACCAUUCUUAUAGAGGGUGCGGGAAAUGGAAUGCCCAAUUUCAUUUCUUGGUUCAAACAGAAGGUAAAAUCCAAAUUAGCUUGUACUUAGUUUGAUAUUACAAGUUGCUCGUACAUGCGAAUAAUAUAACAAACCACCCUGCUUGAACUUGCAGGGCCAAACCGAUGCUUCUAUGAGUGUCGAGUUGAGAUAGGUUGUCGAUGGCUAUGCCUAUAGGGUCAGGUCGUUUACCGGUUAUGACGUGAAUGGAUAUCGCUUUCACACAAGAAGCCACGAGCAGAGUCGGCUCAAUCGAAGAACCACAAAUACUGGAGUUUUUACGCCAGGCCUUGAUGGGGUCGAGUACUACGGAAGAGGCUUCUUAUUAUCAUUCCACAUACUGCACAAUGUUAAAGAAAAAUGAGAAAGCAUAACAAGCCGAUACAGAGUGAUUGGAUUUACUUGAGGAGAAGCUUGAAGAAACAUCCAGCAACAACAGAAAAGUCAAAGUAUUGAGCCCAUGGAGCUAUAAAGCAGAUUGUAUCGGCUGAACAAAGAUUCAGGACAUUGGACUUACAAAAGUUCAAAGCAUGACAUUCAUACUCCGAACUCGGGGGCCUUUGUUUUAGCCGGUGAAAUCCCUCGUUUCGCAUUGUUCAUCAAGUCCACGUGCCCAUGCAGCAUAGCAUUUUAUUAUGAUACGUUGAGUUAUGUCACAUUGUUACUUUAAGUUAUUUUUAAGUAUUAGUUGUAGACAAUUUAGUUGAAAAUUUAAGUGGUUAUUUUAAAUUAUUUUUAUAAUAUGAUAAGUGGGUAAUUUAGAUGAAGAUUAGGGGGUUACUUUAGCUUAUUUUAUAUAAUGGCUGAGGUGGGUAAUUCAGAUAUAGAUUUAGGGGUUACUUUAGACUAUUUUUUUUAGAAAAUAUAAUAGAUCCAAUGGCUACGAUGAUUUGAGUCUAUUGAUUGAUGUCUAGAUGUUUUGCUUGUUUGUGAGAAUUUUAAAUUUUUUUUCUAGAGUGCUCACCUAGUAGCCACUGCUAGUGCACGUGCAACACGAGUGCCGGCCCAUCUGGCACUAAGACCUCGUAAAGCUAUGCGUUUGUCAAUGCAGUUUCUUAGAAGGCAAUAGAUCCAACCAAGCGACUAAAUCAUUUGUCCUUACCAAUGAUGUGCAUUAUGUUUUUUAUAUGAAGGACAUGUCUAGCAAACCUAAGAUUUCAGAAGAAAAAGAAAAAUCAUAGGAGCCAAAGCGCCACAUAGUUCUUCCACGUAAAAAUAAAUCAUCCACUGGGCCAUCACAUAGUAGCGAUCCAAAACGUCCAUAUUAAGACUUUUUGAUAGCAGAAAAAAUAUGAAAUGUCUAAUAUUUGUAGUAUUAAAAGGAAAAAUAAUAUAUUCGCUUGACACCGGUGCGUAGUCAGACUUAAUGCAUGAUGCCUGAGCAUCCACUGGGCCUAUGAUGUGCAGCAGUGGCUCAGAUGGCUGACCAGAAAAGUACACUUAAUUUCAAUGGUACCGACAAGACAAACCACCGUUGCUACUACUUUGUACUACUUGAUACAUAUCUCCACCAAAAGCGAGGCACCCCUUUCCUCUCACGCUCCCUGAAUCAUGAGUUUAUCUCUAAUAGGUCAAACAAACCUUGAUGAUCACUUGUUAAAAUGUCAUCAGUAUCGGUUAUCAUACCAACAUAAUCAAGCCGGCGCGUAUAAUAAGCACCAGAGCCGGCAUUUGUACAAACUGGUAUGGAUAGUAAAAACUCAAAUUUAUAAAUAAAUGAAGAUAUUCAAAGCCCUCGCUCUCUUUUUUCAUUAAUUUUGCGGAAUUCCCAGAUUUGCAUGAAAAAGGGAUGAACCAUUAUUGGACGAACUGGCACACUUGUUUCUACCCGCUCUCCGGACAGCCCACAACCGCCCCCCGGUGUGAGUGUCCAAGUCUUGGAUCGUUGCCCGCGUUAAGCUGUGCCACCGCACUGCACCACAGCGACAAAAGCCACACCACCGGCAGCAUGUGCCAGUGGGGAGCGCUUAUGCUGGCCAUAGUGUCCCCGUAGGACCGCCGCGCGAGCCUGUGAGCCACCGACCGCCGUGCCCCCAAGGGCCAUCACCGCGCCACCCGAGGAUGCUCUCUACCCAGUGCUACGCGCCUCUGCCGGCUGCCUGCACCUGGGCCGCCACCGGUCGCCUGCACAGCCACGUGUUGCAGCCGCCCCCCUGCGCCGAGCCACCCCAUUUCGCGUCGGAAGAACCACCUGAGUCUCGCACAUCGAGGUCUUGCCGGUGAUGACCAUGGCCUCCAGGAUCAAGUGCUACACAGUAUUAGGCCUUGUCAAGUUUUCUAUUCAUUCGAGAUCAAAUGAAAAAGUUGGUACUCAAGACAUACAUCCAUUAAUCUAGUCGUGCUAAUCCUUACCACAAAAUAAAAACUAGCAUGUGUCGUGUGUUUGUGACCCUAAACAAUCACAAAUGAAUAACUUAUCAACUUCAAAAUUUAGCCGGUGAAAUCUCAUAAAAGAGAGAUAAGUAAAAUAGAGGUAGCGCAUGCAGAGAGGGCAGGCCAGCACGUGCAUGCAAAGGUGAUUAGAAUAAAAAAAAAAAGAGGAAGUUAAUGCGUGGGAAGGAAGUCCAUAGUCACGCUAAUCACGCAUGCGGAUUGGAAGGAUUGGAGGGAGCUUCGUUAGAAAUGAUUGUACAUAUGAGAAAUUAGAAUCCAUGUAUGUUAAUAUUUCCUUUUUUAGUGUUAGGAAAGUUUUGUACGGCUCAUUGUCGUAGCUAAUCAGGAGUGUAGGCAACCUCAAGGAUAUAAAUAUGUGCACCCGAGGCUUGCAAGAUUUUAUCUCUCGAUUAAUCAAAACAAUUUUUCGGAUCCACACUGCCAAACUCUUAAGAGUAGGAGUAAUGUAGCUUUUCGACGAGUUUCUUCUUGCGCGCAGGGCUACAUCAGCUUCGAUAUCGGACGAACUUGUAAGUACCAUCACCCGAUCAUUACGCUAGUUAUCGAGUUAUCUUAGAUUGUAAAUAAAACUUUCUAGGUUUUAUCCAAUAUUCCAUUUGUCUUCGACGUUGCUCACAGUUAUUUAACUGCUUAAUUAAAUCUGCUUAGGUUCUUCUCAUCGGCUUCCUAGUCUUGUUUAAACGUUCACAAUUUAUCUGAUCGGAUCGGCUAGUUCGACCUUGCAUGCUGUUAUCGCUUUAUCUAUACUAGGUCCGAUAGAUCUUUACCCCUUCCCCUCGUAUUGCUAGCAGUUGGAUCCCUAACGUUAGAACGACACUGUUGAGAGCCGAUGCAUCGAUUGAGUAUCAUCCAUAUCUCUAUAAUGUAUCGUGGUUAAUGGCAAUUUAAUGAAAUUAUAAAGGAUAACAACGAUCGUGCUUUCGGCGUUCCAAAAAUCAAUCAAGAAUUCAUCAUGGUUGUGCAGUGUAUGGAAACCUUAUGGGAAUAGUUAGAUGGGAAAUGCUGUAUUAUGUAAUAAUAAAUCCAGGUACAUCACAAAUCAGGAUGGAUGGAUGUCUAAUACUGUUGAAAGAGAUUGGAAUAAAGCAGACUCAUCUCAGACUAUGCACCAUGUCUGAGUGACCCACCUCACCUUGCCAGGUCACUGGUCUUGCCCUCGUGGUUCACCCGCAUCAAGCCAGCACGCAAGCUAUGAUGUUGCCACCAGUGGUCAGUACACAAAUCUAGCUACCAGUCGGAUCCAAGGGCAGGCAUGCAUUUGUAUUGUGGUUGUGCUUGAACAUGGAGAUGUCUUGUGAUUGUCAGGCACCAUCCAUCCUCUCUCAGUUUCACUCCUCACACACGGAUAGCACACACCAGGGACACGACACCAUGCAUGCCGAUUUCAUAUUGUUAAUAUUUAUUUUUUUAAUGGUUGUUGAAACUAUAUAGUUAGUCCAAUCUCACGUUUCCGAUUAUAAAAAUUAACAUAAAGAGAUCGGAAGGAAGAGCCGGCAUAAUGAAGCCAACACAUAUAAUAAGCACCAGAGCCGGCAUUUAUACAAACCGGUACGGAUAGUAAAAACCAGAAUUUAUAAAUAAAAAAAUAAUUUGCAUAUCUAGAGAGAUAUCUCAUCAAAUCGGUGAGUUAUAUCCGGUUAAUUUAAACGAGGAUAAAAAUAAGUGUAUUUUCCACUCAUUAUGUUGGCUUUUCGUAGCUGUACCGCCUUUAGUGUGCUGUAUUCCCCUAACACCAAGUCUCCGAGGUCCGAGAAAAUAAGGAAAGUGAUAGCAGCCCAGGUAUCGACCAAGUUUCUUUCCCACUUUGGCUUUCCUACUAUGAUUCGAAAUCCUCUUUCGCAUGACAAUCUUAAUUAUCUCCCACAGUCCAAAGCUCAAAAAACAUCAAAAAUCCGCCGAGAAUAAAUUAAGUAAAAAACAUGCACACAUAGAUAAUAAUAAUAAUCAUGUUUCAUUAAAAUUGCUAAGGCUAGAGACAAUACAUAAACAUAUUAGACUGCUCGUGACACAUAUCACGGUGGUGUCUGUGUCCUUAUUACAAGCAGCGAGAGGAAUUAAAUAUGCUUGUCACCACACACACGCGCACACAUAUGCACAGCAUACAUAUAGUUGAGACCAACAGAUGGAUUAACUAGAGGUCACCCCAUAUGGUGAACAAUUUAUUGGAGAUAAACAUUAACAUAACUUGGCCAUAGCUUGAAGCAUAGUAACAUAUGCCUAUGAAUGGCAUUCAUGCUAUGUUUUAGGCUUGUCCUUAGCAUCUUCCAUUUAGCAAGCACUGCCGUUUCUUCCAUCUUAGCAGCAACUGUCAGAUUGAGAUAUGGAAAUCCCAUUAGCGCAUGAGUUAAUUUUGCAGUGGAAAUAGAGUACAAGAUGUCUUCAUGAUGUAAGUAAUAUGCCUGAUGUUGUGAGAUGGGAAGUGAAGUCAAUAAAUUACAUUAACCAAAAUGCAUGGAAGGCCACACAUACGUAUUAGUCCACGAUAUGCUACAAAGCUUGUAUGUACAUAUACAAAUUAAAUGUAUUGAAUA
RNAcentral lists this long non-coding RNA (17651 nucleotides) under Setaria viridis. RNAcentral's name for it is "long non-coding RNA (SVIR_LNC008617)". Lineage: Eukaryota; Viridiplantae; Streptophyta; Magnoliopsida; Poales; Poaceae. The record is from RNAcentral.